Danio rerio (zebrafish) is the source of this 653-nucleotide non-coding RNA. NCBI's taxonomy places the organism in Eukaryota, Metazoa, Chordata, Actinopteri, Cypriniformes, Danionidae. The record is from RefSeq and is a predicted model, not a curated record.
UCGGUUAAGCGCAUUCUGGACUCUAGACGGAGGGGACGAGGAUUCCAGUACUUGGUGGACUGGGAGGGUUACGGUCCUGAGCACAGAAGUUGGGUUCCGGCCGGGGACAUACUGGAUCACUCUCUUAUCGAUGAUUACAAUCGCCAGGUAUGCUCGUCUGGGAACGCCAGGAGGCGUUCCUAGGAGAGAGGGUAUUGUCACGAUUGUGGAUCUGUCUGUUCUUCUAUGAUGUGUCUGCGUGUGUGUAUGUGUGUGUGUGUACGGUGUGGUGCGUUAUGCGUUUACGUAUAUGCGUGUAUGAGUGUGUGUGUUGGGUGUCUCUGUGUCUGUGUUAGAGUCGCGUUGCUGUCAGUUGUGUUUACCUUAUCAGCUGGGUGGUCACGUGUACGCUGUCACCAGCCUUGCCGUGCGCAGCACCGCUCAGCUGUAAUCAGUGGACCACAGGUUCCGGUCGCUGAGUUCUGGUCGUGUGUCGCGGGGAGAGCUCUGUGUUUGGACUCUUGUACCUUUCUGUUGGCGGCUCUCUGAUCUUGUUCUUCAGUGCUCCCUGUUCGAUUUAUAUUUCCUGCUGCUCGCUUGACUCACUCAUCAUCUUCCUGCGUUCUUCCUUCUGUCAUUCUGUCUGAGUCAAUAAAUAAUUAUUUUACUUGCAA